Molecule: ribosomal RNA, 254 nt
Filed under: uncultured bacterium
Lineage: Bacteria
Description: partial 16S ribosomal RNA
Rfam family: Bacterial small subunit ribosomal RNA
Source: RNAcentral
UACGUAGGGUGCGAGCGUUGUCCGGAAUCAUUGGGCGUAAAGGGCGCGUAGGUGGCCCGGUCAGUUCGUGGUGAAAGCGCGGGGCUCAACCCUGCGUCGGCCAUGAAUACUGCCGCGGCUGGAGCACUGUAGAGGCAGGCGGAAUUCCGGGUGUAGCGGUGGAAUGCGUAGAGAUCCGGAAGAACACCGGUGGCGAAGGCGGCCUGCUGGGCAGUUGCUGACACUGAGGCGCGACAGCGUGGGGAGCAAACAGG